AAUCUCUAGUUUUCUGUGUAGCUCUUUUGGUGACUCAUAGCUCGGAGGAGGUGUCUUUGGAUAGUUUUAACAUUUAUAAUAACUCCAUGGACAUCGUCCCACUCAGGAAGGCAUCUGUUUCUAACCUCGUUGUGACGUGUUGGGGAUCGACAAGGUCUAUCAUUGAGGGUUUCAAAGGGAGCCAUACCAAGGCUAGACUAGUGAUAAUUAUUAUAAGUGAACUCAUAGAGAGAUAGAUGUUGAUCCCAACAACUACCAAAAUCUAAAAUGCAGACGCAUAACAUGUCUUUUAUGGUCAGAAUAGUCUGCUUAAUCUAACUAGUAGUGUGGGAAUGUCCGGUAGUGCUAUGGUUUAGACUAAAAUCGACAACUUUCUGGAAGUUACCCCAAUAGUGCAGCACUAAAUGAGGGUCUCUAUCUAACACUAUG
Molecule: long non-coding RNA, 429 nt
Filed under: Carica papaya (papaya)
Lineage: Eukaryota; Viridiplantae; Streptophyta; Magnoliopsida; Brassicales; Caricaceae
Description: long non-coding RNA (CPAP_LNC016212)
Source: RNAcentral